GCGAACGCUGGCGGCAGGCUUCACACAUGCAAGUCGAGCGGACCUUUCGGGGUCAGCGGCGGACGGGUGAGUAACGCGUGGGAACGUGCCUUCCGGUUCGGAAUAACCCUGGGAAACUAGGGCUAAUACCGGAUACGCCCUUAUGGGGAAAGGUUUACUGCCGGAAGAUCGGCCCGCGUCUGAUUAGCUAGUUGGUGGGGUGACGGCCUACCAAGGCGACGAUCAGUAGCUGGUCUGAGAGGAUGAUCAGCCACACUGGGACUGAGACACGGCCCAGACUCCUACGGGAGGCAGCAGUGGGGAAUAUUGGACAAUGGGCGCAAGCCUGAUCCAGCCAUGCCGCGUGAGUGAUGAAGGCCUUAGGGUUGUAAAGCUCUUUUAUCCGGGACGAUAAUGACGGUACCGGAGGAAUAAGCCCCGGCUAACUUCGUG
Molecule: ribosomal RNA, 432 nt
Filed under: uncultured bacterium
Lineage: Bacteria
Description: partial 16S ribosomal RNA
Rfam family: Bacterial small subunit ribosomal RNA
Source: RNAcentral